AACAUUAGGUCAGGGAUAACCUCGGAAAGCUGAGGAUAACACGCUGAUAUAAACAUAUUUUCUGGAAUGAGAUAUUUUUCAAAGCUUCGAUGCCUAAGGAUGGGGCUGCGGCUGAUUAGCUAGUUGUUGGUGUAAUAGACUAACCAAGGCGAUGAUCAGUAAGGGCUCUGUAGCGGAGAGGCCCUGAGAAGGAUAUCUUAGACACUAUUCCUAGCUCUACGGGGUGCAGCAGUUAAGGAAUUUUUUCAAUGCCCGCAAGGGUGAUACGAGUAAGCCAGAGUGUUUUACUCUAAGAAAACUUUUAUCUGCUGUAAAAAGGCAGAUGAAUAAGGACUGGGCAAGACCGGUGCCAGCCGCCGCGGUAAUCCCGGCGGUCCAAGUCGCAAUUCACAAUUAUUGGGUCUAAAACAUCCGUAGCUUGUUUUGUCAAGUCUCUUGUGAAAUCUCAAAUCUUAAGUUUGAGGCCGUGCAAGAGAUACUGCUAAACUUUGAGACCGGAAGACGCAAAGAGUAUGUAUUGAGGUAGUGGUAAAAUAUGUUAAUCUUAAUCAGACUAACAAUGGCGAAGGCACUUUGCGAGUACGGAUCUGACAGUGAGGGAUGAAGGCUAGGGGCGCAAAAGGGAUUAGAUACCCCUGUAGUCCUAGCAGUAAACACUGCUCACUAAACAUCAGAUACCUCCUAGAGAGGUAUUGGUGCUGUAGGGAAGCCGAAGAGUGAGCUACCUGGGAAGUAUAGUCGCAAGGCCGAAACUUAAAGGAAUUGGCGGGGGAG
RNAcentral lists this ribosomal RNA (774 nucleotides) under uncultured archaeon. RNAcentral describes it as "bacterial SSU rRNA". It matches the Rfam family "Archaeal small subunit ribosomal RNA", at positions 111 to 876 of the family's 1478-position model. The record is from RNAcentral.